GGACAACUGCCCUGAGGACUGGAAUAAUCCCGGGAAACUGGGAGUAAUUCCAGAUAUGCCAGGGAACCUGGAAUGGUUUCUGGCAGAAAUGCUCCGGCGCCUCAGGAUGGGUCUGCGGCCUAUCAGGGUAGUAGUGGGUGUAACGUACCCACUAGCCUACGACGGGUACGGGUUGUGAGAGCAAGAGCCCGGAGAUGGAUUCUGAGACAUGAAUCCAGGCCCUACGGGGUGCAGCAGGCGCGAAAACUUUACAAUGCGGGCAACCGCGAUAAGGGGACCUCGAGUGCUGGGUUACAAACCUGGCUGUUGGGCUGCCUAAAAAGCAGUCUAUAGCAAGGGCCGGGCAAGACCGGUGCCAGCCGCCGCGGUAACACCGGCGGCUCGAGUGGUAACCGCUAUUAUUGGGUCUAAAGGGUCUGUAGCCGGCCGACUAAGUCUCUUGGGAAAUCUGGCAUCUCAAGUGUCAGGCUGCCAGGGGAUACUGGUCGGCUUGGGACCGGGAGAGGUGAGAGGUACCUCGGGGGUAGGGGUGAAAUCUUGUAAUCCUCGAGGGACCACCAGUGGCGAAGGCGUCUCACCAGAACGGAUCCGACGGCAAGGGACGAAAGCUAGGGGCACGAACCGGAUUAGAUACCCGGGUAGUCCUAGCCGUAAACGAUACUCGCUAGGUGUCGGCCACGGUGCGACCGUGGUCGGUGCCGUAGGGAAGCCGUUAAGCCCGCCGCCUGGGGAGUACGGCCGCAAGGCUGAAACU
This 754-nucleotide ribosomal RNA is filed under the name Methanosaeta sp. enrichment culture. Its description in RNAcentral is "bacterial SSU rRNA". It matches the Rfam family "Archaeal small subunit ribosomal RNA", at positions 102 to 856 of the family's 1478-position model. The record is from RNAcentral. Lineage: Archaea; Methanobacteriati; Methanobacteriota; Methanomicrobia; Methanotrichales; Methanotrichaceae.